This is an RNA transcript of Dendronephthya gigantea, 2815 nucleotides long. RefSeq lists it as uncharacterized. The transcript is spliced from 7 exons. The record is from RefSeq and is a predicted model, not a curated record. Lineage: Eukaryota; Metazoa; Cnidaria; Anthozoa; Malacalcyonacea; Nephtheidae.
CAAGAAACAGAAGUAGAUAUUUGAGACCAAAUUUUUGGCGAAGAAGAUGGAAUAAAUGGCAAGUGACGGCUCUGGCAGUAAUCGUGGUGAUUAAAUUGUUCAAAACUUUUAAUCAGGAUGGUGAAACAGAAAUUUCGCCCAGGAACCAAAAACAAGCAUUUAAAGACAUGCUAUUUGAUUCUCUGGCUCGUCAUAUUCACCUCUCUCCUGUGUUACUUCUCUUUGCCAUCUGUAAUUUCAUACGUUCGUUUCGAUGCUGUUAUCAAUUUUCGUAAUCUGUUACGUUUGAGACAGACAACUCAAACAGGUUUUCAACACAGCUGGUUAAGAAUGCAUCGGGCUAGAACUGACUGGCAGGCGAUGUUAAAACCGUGCUCAGAUCAAAUGGCUUGGGGAACCUUGAAAUCAGGCUGGGGUAAGGUUAAAAGAACUUCUGCAAGACGUAGUUAUGUCAUUUACAAAGAUAUCCAACCUUCUGGUCAGUUUUCGAGGAUAUUUAUUCAAACGCGUACAGCUGGUGGGCAGGAAAAAACUAUCGGUGGUGAUUUUUGGCGAGUGUUCUUAACAGGACCAGCAAACGUUGCAGCUUCUGUAUUUGACCAUGAAAAUGGUACGUACGAAGCCAUCGCAUUGCUUUUGGAGCCUGGAAACUAUAGUGUUCUUGCUUAUCUCGAUUAUACUUUGUGCGAUGGACUGAGAGAUCCUCCGGAAAACUGGUUCCGAAUUGGGAACAAGUAUGGAAAAAGACAACGUGAAGGAAUUCUUGGUUUUCUUGAUCACUUCAUUUAUGAGCCUUUGUCAGGAGGUGAAAUAAUAACCUUUGAAGUUUCACCAAAUAAAUCAAGUUCAGGAAUUGACGGAUUACCCAAAAUCACUUGCGCGCAAUCUUGUCGUUCUCUCUGGAACGGCUUUGGACGUUGGAAGAACAAUGUUUGGUCGCCAUAUAUUCCUGUUGCAAGCCAUUUGUCAACAGCAGAGAACCGAACAGCUCGUAGGGGAACACUGUGGUUAUUUGGGGACUCCUUGGCAGUGCGAUUUUUUCGUUCACUAAAAAGAAAACCGCUGUGCAGUCGAAUAUUCAGGGAAUGUAGACGCAGUUAUAACUGGUUGUACCCACUGCCUGGCGAGAAUGAGGCUCUCGGAAAAUUGCAAAAUGAUGACCUUGAUUUUCAACCAACUAUAAUACUUGACUCAAUCAGAGAUGUUCUACGUGAUAGACUUAUGAAAGAUUCGCACAGUUUAUUGCUUUUGAACCUUGGAUUACACUACGUACCGUCAUUAAAUUUUACGAGUUUUCAAAAGUUGAUCGACGACGUCAUAGAACUAUUGAUCGUGCGUGAGAAAGAACUUGGGAGUCAUGCGAGGGUGGUUUGGAAAACAACAACGUCGAUACGGAAAGAAAAUGGUGCUUCGCGAAAUAGGACCGAAUCAAGAUUUUUUACCGAACAACGUGUCGAAUUAUUUGAUGCAUACGCCAUGUCAGCGAUGUGUAACGCUGGGAUUGAAGUCUUAGAUGUGUUUCCAUUAACCGCCUCGUUUUUGGAGGGCACAGUGGACGUCGUUCACUACAGGAACAAAGCUAAUGUGUUUAUGACCGCGGAAAUAGCUUUAGAGACUUGUGUUAAGGCUGGACACGCAUUUAGGAACACAAGAGUUUGUAUCAAGUAAAUUAUAUGUAUUCGAUAUAGCUAAUUCUAUAUUCUGGAUUUUCAACGAUAAUUUAACUGCCUCACCCCUCCCGUUACGCCUAUACUCUUAUACCUCAGCCGUCAAACGAAGAAUAUAGCUAAUUCAAUAUAGCUAAUUCUACAAAUGCUCCGAGUCUCUGCAAUUAUGAAUUAAGUUAAGGCCUGGUUAAAGUUAAGACCUGGCAAUAUUCUGGAUUUUCAAAGAAAAUUUAAUCGCCCCACUCCUCCUGUUACCAAAUAACUGUGUGAUCUAAACACUUAAAAUCAUUUAAGUGAUGCAUGUAAAACCUUCGAAUAAACUGUCAUUUUUUGUGUAGGUUCGGUCGACAAUAUAUAGGUUUCUAAAACAUGAUUCCCCAAUAUGCAAUAUCCCAAUCGCCACAGUCUUAGGACCUUAGGUGGUUAUAAGAUUCGCAUUUUACAGGUGCUUUUCUUGCAGGUGCCAGUCCGAACUUGUCGAAAUAAACGCAAACUUUCUUUGAUAGCUUUGUACACGUGUUUAUCAUUGUGCAAUCGUCUGUCAGAACGGGAGAAUAUAACAAACAAUAGUUUUGAGAGGAAGGAUCGAAAUGUUGAUAAAAAUACACCGCUAAUAGCUCUUGCCAAGAUAAAUCUAUUAAACCUUAGAAUAUAAGCCAGACCUAUGCAAGAUUUAAUGAGAAGAUUCGUAAUCUUUGAACGCUUCAAAUUUCCUCAGGCCAAGAAAAAACUACCAAACUGCCCGUCCGGCUGAGAGCUGAGCCAAAAGGUUAAUUUGUCAAUGUUGGUAAAAAGCCUGAAGCAAUGUAGGAUUCGUCAUUCAAUUUUCGCCGUUAUUGCUAUAGCUUUUGUUCUUUUUUAUUACUUGUAUUGCUGCUCGGGCCUUUUCUUCGACGUUACCAUCAUUUUUCACAAUGGCUUACCUUGGUUACAGUAUGAUAUUCAGAAACAGACAGAUCACCUAAGAAAUUUCACACGCAAUUGGUUAAGGAUGCAUCGGGCUAGAACUGACUGGCAGGCAAUGUUAAAACCGUGCUCAGAUCAAAUGGCUUGGGGAUCUUUGAAAUCAGGCUGGGGUAAGGUAAACAGAACUUCUGCAAGACGUAGUUAUGUUAUUUACAAAGAUAUCCAACCUUCUGGUCAGUUUU